This 415-nucleotide ribosomal RNA is filed under the name Acrapex salmona. Its description in RNAcentral is "partial 16S ribosomal RNA". The record is from RNAcentral. Lineage: Eukaryota; Metazoa; Arthropoda; Insecta; Lepidoptera; Noctuidae.
AGGGCUGCAGUAUAUUGACUGUACAAAGGUAGCAUAAUCAUUAGUCAUUUAAUUGAUGACUUGUAUGAAGGAUUUGAUGAAAUAUAAACUGUCUCUUAUUUAAUUAUAAAAUUUAAUUUUUUUAUUAAAAAGUUAAAAUAUUUUAAAAAGACGAGAAGACCCUAUAGAGUUUAAUAAAUUAUUAGAUUGAGAUUAUAUGUAAAACAAAUUUAAAAUAAAAUUAUUUAUUUUGUUGGGGUGACAAAAAAAUACAUUAAACUUUUUUUAUUUAAAAAACAUUUAUAAGUGAUUAAAUGAUCCAAUAAUAUUGAUUAUAAGAAAAAAUUACCUUAGGGAUAACAGCGUAAUUUUUUUUUUUAGUUCAAAUAAGAAAAAGAGUUUGCGACCUCGAUGUUGGAUUAAGAUAAAAUUUAAA